GGCUGGUCUGAUGGUAGCGGGUUAUCAGAACUUAUUAACAUCAGUGUCACUAAAGUGGGUAUACAACUGCCCACUGCUAAAUUUGACUGGCUUAAA
Molecule: Y RNA, 96 nt
Filed under: Prolemur simus (greater bamboo lemur)
Lineage: Eukaryota; Metazoa; Chordata; Mammalia; Primates; Lemuridae
Description: Y RNA (ENSPSMG00000014312.1)
Rfam family: Y RNA
About the family: Y RNAs are components of the Ro ribonucleoprotein particle (Ro RNP), in association with Ro60 and La proteins. The Y RNAs and Ro60 and La proteins are well conserved, but the function of the Ro RNP is not known.
Source: Rfam by way of RNAcentral